CAGCAGCCCGGUAAUACGAAGGGUGCAAGCGUUAAUCGGAAUUACUGGGCGUAAAGCGUGCGUAGGCGGUGAGUUAAGUCUGCUGUGAAAUCCCCGGGCUCAACCUGGGAAUGGCAGUGGAUACUGGCUCGCUAGAGUGUGUCAGAGGAUGGUGGAAUUCCCGGUGUAGCGGUGAAAUGCGUAGAGAUCGGGAGGAACAUCAGUGGCGAAGGCGGCCAUCUGGGACAACACUGACGCUGAGGCACGAAAGCGUGGGGAGCAAACAGGAUUAGAUACCCCAGUAGUCCCUGUCUCUUAUACA
This 301-nucleotide ribosomal RNA is filed under the name uncultured bacterium. RNAcentral's name for it is "partial 16S ribosomal RNA". It matches the Rfam family "Bacterial small subunit ribosomal RNA", at positions 509 to 808 of the family's 1533-position model. The record is from RNAcentral.